This 484-nucleotide ribosomal RNA is filed under the name uncultured bacterium. RNAcentral's name for it is "partial 16S ribosomal RNA". It matches the Rfam family "Bacterial small subunit ribosomal RNA", at positions 30 to 507 of the family's 1533-position model. The record is from RNAcentral.
AUUGAACGCUGGCGGCAGGCCUAACACAUGCAAGUCGAGCGGAUGAAGGGAGCUUGCUCCUGGAUUCAGCGGCGGACGGGUGAGUAAUGCCUAGGAAUCUGCCUGGUAGUGGGGGAUAACGUCCGGAAACGGGCGCUAAUACCGCAUACGUCCUGAGGGACAAAGUGGGGGAUCUUCGGACCUCACGCUAUCAGAUGAGCCUAGGUCGGAUUAGCUAGUUGGUGGGGUAAAGGCCUACCAAGGCGACGAUCCGUAACUGGUCUGAGAGGAUGAUCAGUCACACUGGAACUGAGACACGGUCCAGACUCCUACGGGAGGCAGCAGUGGGGAAUAUUGGACAAUGGGCGAAAGCCUGAUCCAGCCAUGCCGCGUGUGUGAAGAAGGUCUUCGGAUUGUAAAGCACUUUAAGUUGGGAGGAAGGGCAGUAAGUUAAUACCUUGCUGUUUUGACGUUACCAACAGAAUAAGCACCGGCUAACUUCGUG